UACGGAGGCAGCAGUGGGGAAUAUUGCACAAUGGGCGCAAGCCUGAUGCAGCCAUGCCGCGUGUAUGAAGAAGGCCUUCGGGUUGUAAAGUACUUUCAGUCGUGAGGAAGGUGUUAAGGUUAAUAACCUUAGCAAUUGACGUUAGCGACAGAAGAAGCACCGGCUAACUCCGUGCCAGCAGCCGCGGUAAUACGGAGGGUGCGAGCGUUAAUCGGAAUUACUGGGCGUAAAGGGCACGCAGGCGGUUAAUUAAGUUGGAUGUGAAAUCCCCGGGCUUAACCUGGGAAUGGCAUUCAAGACUGGUUAGCUAGAGUCUUGUAGAGGGGGUAGAAUUCCAUGUGUAGCGGUGAAAUGCGUAGAGAUGUGGAGGAAUACCGGUGGCGAAGGCGGCCCCUGGACAAAGACUGACGCUCAUGUGCGAAAGCGUGGGGAGCGAAAC
Molecule: ribosomal RNA, 439 nt
Filed under: uncultured bacterium
Lineage: Bacteria
Description: bacterial SSU rRNA
Rfam family: Bacterial small subunit ribosomal RNA
Source: RNAcentral